This is a non-coding RNA of Tritrichomonas musculus, 80 nucleotides long. The record is from the annotation of a GenBank genome assembly. Lineage: Eukaryota; Parabasalia; Tritrichomonadida; Tritrichomonadidae.
GGGUGAUUAGCUCAGUGGUAGAGCGCCACUUUAGCAUAGUGGAGGCCAGGGGUUCAGAAAAAUCGACAGAAUAUUACCAA